RNAcentral lists this ribosomal RNA (774 nucleotides) under Bacteroidetes bacterium SCGC AAA160-A02. RNAcentral's name for it is "bacterial SSU rRNA". It matches the Rfam family "Bacterial small subunit ribosomal RNA", at positions 71 to 845 of the family's 1533-position model. The record is from RNAcentral. Lineage: Bacteria; Pseudomonadati; Bacteroidota.
CAUGAGAGCUUGCUCUUGAUGACGAGUGGCGCACGGGUGCGUAACGCGUAUGCAAUCUACCUAUAACUGAGGAAUAGCCCAGAGAAAUUUGGAUUAAUACCUCAUAAUAAUAUUUUUUGGCAUCAUUUAAUAUUUAAAACUCCGGUGGUUAUAGAUGAGCAUGCGUUCUAUUAGUUAGUUGGUGAGGUAAGAGCUCACCAAGACUUCGAUAGAUAGGGGGCCUGAAAGGGUGAUCCCCCACACUGGUACUGAGACACGGACCAGACUCCUACGGGAGGCAGCAGUGAGGAAUAUUGCACAAUGGAGGAAACUCUGAUGCAGCCAUGCCGCGUGCAGGACGAAUGCCCUAUGGGUUGUAAACUGCUUUUUUACAAGAAGAAACCUUGGUACGUGUACCAACUUGACGGUAUUGUAAGAAUAAGCACCGGCUAACUCCGUGCCAGCAGCCGCGGUAAUACGGAGGGUGCAAGCGUUAUCCGGAUUUAUUAGGUUUAAAGGGUUCGCAGGCGGAAUUUUAAGUCAGUGGUGAAAGCCUAUAGCUCAACUAUAGAACUGCCACUGAUACUGAUAUUCUUGAGUAUAGAUGAAGUGGGCGGAAUAUGUCAUGUAGCGGUGAAAUGCAUAGAUAUGACAUGGAACACCAAUUGCGAAGGCAGCUCACUAAACUAUUACUGACGCUCAUGAACGAAAGCAUGGGGAGCGAACAGGAUUAGAUACCCUGGUAGUCCAUGCUGUAAACUAUGAUCACUAGAUGUUGGCGAUAUACUGUCAGUG